RNAcentral lists this ribosomal RNA (465 nucleotides) under Vreelandella stevensii. Its description in RNAcentral is "partial 16S ribosomal RNA". It matches the Rfam family "Bacterial small subunit ribosomal RNA", at positions 338 to 795 of the family's 1533-position model. Lineage: Bacteria; Pseudomonadati; Pseudomonadota; Gammaproteobacteria; Oceanospirillales; Halomonadaceae. The record is from RNAcentral.
CCUACGGGGUGCAGCAGUGGGGAAUAUUGGACAAUGGGCGAAAGCCUGAUCCAGCCAUGCCGCGUGUGUGAAGAAGGCCUUCGGGUUGUAAAGCACUUUCAGUGGGGAAGAAAGCCUUGGGGCUAAUACCCUCGAGGAAGGACAUCACCCACAGAAGAAGCACCGGCUAACUCCGUGCCAGCAGCCGCGGUAACACGGAGGGUGCGAGCGUUAAUCGGAAUUACUGGGCGUAAAGCGCGCGUAGGCGGUCUGAUAAGCCGGUUGUGAAAGCCCCGGGCUCAACCUGGGAACGGCAUCCGGAACUGUCAGGCUAGAGUGCAGGAGAGGAAGGUAGAAUUCCCGGUGUAGCGGUGAAAUGCGUAGAGAUCGGGAGGAAUACCAGUGGCGAAGGCGGCCUUCUGGACUGACACUGACGCUGAGGUGCGAAAGCGUGGGUAGCAAACAGGAUUAGAUACCCUAGUAGUC